GCAGCUUAGGUGGAAGGCUGAGAAAGGCAAUUCCGGUUGUCUGGAGCCAUCAGUGAGAUACCACUCUGGGAGAGCUAGGAGUCUAAUGGCGUUCCUUGAAUCAGGACGCUUGACAGUUUCAGGUGGGCAGUUUUACUGGGGCGGUAGCCUCCUAAAAGGUAACGGAGGCGUGCAAAGAUUCCCUCAGGCUGGACGGAAAUCAGCCAUAGAGUGUAAAGGCAGAAGGGAGCUUGACUGCAAGACCUACAAGUCGAGCAGGGACGAAAGUCGGCCUUAGUGAUCCGACGGUGCCGUGUGGAAGGGCCGUCGCUCAACGGAUAAAAGUUACUCUAGGGAUAACA
Molecule: ribosomal RNA, 341 nt
Filed under: uncultured eukaryote
Lineage: Eukaryota
Description: LSU rRNA
Rfam family: Bacterial large subunit ribosomal RNA
Source: RNAcentral